Molecule: ribosomal RNA, 742 nt
Filed under: uncultured Hyphomicrobiales bacterium
Lineage: Bacteria; Pseudomonadati; Pseudomonadota; Alphaproteobacteria; Hyphomicrobiales
Description: bacterial SSU rRNA
Rfam family: Bacterial small subunit ribosomal RNA
Source: RNAcentral
AGAGUUUGAUCCUGGCUCAGAACGAACGCUGGCGGCAGGCCUAACACAUGCAAGUCGAACGCAUCCUUCGGGGUGAGUGGCAGACGGGUGAGUAACACGUGGGAACGUGCCUUUCGGUUCGGGAUAACCCAGGGAAACUUGGGCUAAUACCGGAUACGCCCUUUGGGGGAAAGAUUGAUUGCCGAAAGAUCGGCCCGCGUCUGAUUAGCUAGUUGGUGAGGUAACGGCUCACCAAGGCGACGAUCAGUAGCUGGUCUGAGAGGAUGAUCAGCCACACUGGGACUGAGACACGGCCCAGACUCCUACGGGAGGCAGCAGUGGGGAAUAUUGGACAAUGGGCGCAAGCCUGAUCCAGCCAUGCCGCGUGAGUGAUGAAGGCCCUAGGGUUGUAAAGCUCUUUCGGCGGGGACGAUAAUGACGGUACCCGCAGAAGAAGCCCCGGCUAACUUCGUGCCAGCAGCCGCGGUAAUACGAAGGGGGCUAGCGUUGUUCGGAAUCACUGGGCGUAAAGGGCGCGUAGGCGGCCAUUCAAGUCGGGGGUGAAAGCCUGUGGCUCAACCACAGAAUUGCCUUCGAUACUGUUUGGCUUGAGACCGGAAGAGGUCAGUGGAACUGCGAGUGUAGAGGUGAAAUUCGUAGAUAUUCGCAAGAACACCAGUGGCGAAGGCGGCUGACUGGUCCGGUUCUGACGCUGAGGCGCGAAAGCGUGGGGAGCAAACAGGAUUAGAUACCCCGGUAGUCC